This is a long non-coding RNA of Equus caballus (horse), 2794 nucleotides long. RefSeq lists it as uncharacterized. Lineage: Eukaryota; Metazoa; Chordata; Mammalia; Perissodactyla; Equidae. The record is from RefSeq and is a predicted model, not a curated record.
UGGAGACUAGAAUCAUCUGAUGGCUUGCUCAUUUGCAUGUCUGGCAGAUGAUGCUGGCUGUUGGCUGGGAGUAUGGUCAGAACACCUACAUGUGACCUUUUUGUGUGGCUGCUUGGUUUCCUCAUAGCUUGGUGGUUGGGUUUUAAGAGUGUGUAACUCAAGAGAGAGCUGUGUUGAAGCUGAAUCAUCUUUUUCUAAUUUAGCCUUGGAAAUUAUGUAAACGCCUCUUCUGCAACAUUCUAUUCACUUGGAAUGAGUCACUAUGUCCAUUCCACAUUCAGAAGAAAGAGAAUUAGAUGCCACCUUUUGAAAGGAGGCAUGUCAAAGAAUUUGUGGACAUAUUUUACAAUACUGCACUUACCUUCUUGUCUCCAUUUAAAAUGAGGAACUGGAGCAUCAGAGAGUGGCAGAGCUGUGAUUACAUCGGAGGCCAUCUGACCCUGACUUUAAUUUUUUCUCAAUGUUAAAUGUGUUGAUGACUUGUCUAAGUUCACCUUUAUGAUAAAGAACUUGUAUUAUUUUGUCUAAAUCAGGUGCUGGCAAACCAUGGCCCAUGGACCAAAUCCAACAAAUACUUUGUUUUUCCUUAGAAUGUCCGGGAGACCCAACCUGCCUUGGAAACCAACUGAUGAGACUGCCUCAUGUCAAUCUUGCUGUGAUUUUAUUCCUUUGAGCUUGCAGCAAAUGACUCUACUGGAAACCGUCACUCCUUUGGAUUAGGACCAAAGCCCUGUGGUAUAAUUGAAGAGGAUAAGGAAGGGGGCCCUUCCUCGGAUAUUUCCCCACUUAAGAGAUGAUUUAUCUCAUCAAACAGGAUGGAUGUAAAAGUCUAUCCAUGCUUUCUCCACCUCACAGCUUUCAUGACUCAUUCUGGACUCACCCUAUGUUCUGUCACGUGAAACAUUUCAAGGUUGUUCCCCUAGCAAUCUUAUUCUUUGCUCUCUCUUGCUGAAGCCUUUCCACAAACUCCCAACUUGGAUCAAUCCUUUUUGCUCUCCUCCAUCUGAGUGUAGGAUUUUCCCAUGAGGACUCCGUAAUUCUUGGUGAUUAAUACAUAGAGAGGUCUUAGAAGUGUUGGGAGGGAGGUGAGAAAGUGUUGUAUGUAGGAAAGACGUGAAUUGUUGUGGUAGGAUGUCUGCAAAUAUGGCUGCCAGUUCCUCCCAUAUCUGUGAUCAUAUGCCACUAAGUCCUCGAGUGGGGAGCCUAUUCUCCCUUCCUAUAGAAUCUGGACUGACCCUGUGACUUGCUUUGACCAGCCGAAUACAGAGAAGGUAAAGCUGUGUGAUCUCAGAUUUUUAGGUUUUAAGGGACACUGUUGGCCUGUUGGGAUUCAGCACCAUAUAAAGAAACUUGAGGCCCCUCAGCUCCCAGAAUUUCUAGUCACUCGAGAGAUAAAUCACCAGAUAUUGAGAGUAAAACCAUCUUAGAAGUUCAGUCCCAAUCAAGCACCCUGUUGAAUGCACUGCAGAAGUGACUUCAGUCAAUAUCAUGAGUAGAGUGAAUAAACCAACCAGCUAAGCCUAGAGGAUCCACAGAAUUAUGAAACUAAAAAAGUUUGUUGCUGUUUAAGUCACCAAGUUUUGGGACGUUUGUUACGCAGCAAUAGAUAACUAAUUCAAUCACCAAGUUCAAAGUGAUUUUGCUUUCAGACUCCUCACUCCUAGGAGGGGAAAUACAGUGUGGUCUAGAGAUAUAAUUGUUGGGGAUAAUGGAGCCCUUCCCCAGUUUCUUCUCCAAUGACUCCCAUAUACCCUUGGUAAAGAAAAACAGUCACUUGCUAAAGGCGACAAGACUGAUUGUGUUCAAACUACUGAAGUAGGAGGAAAAGACUCCAGUAUAGACUGAGCUCAAUGCCAACUAAGCCCAAACUAAGAGAAAGUUGAUGGAGACUUUUAAAGGGAGAAUUGAUAGGGAACAAAAAGGGACUAUGGGAAAGUGCAAAAGGGGGAAAAAGGAACUUGGGGCCAUGUGGAAGGAGAAAAAUUCCAGGAGAGGGAAUUAUUGAAAAUAGUUUGGCAAAGUGGGUUGGGACAAUGAAUUUUUUCUGGUGUGACAGCAUUGUGUUUUCCUGAGCAAAGACUCACCACGAAGGCUGGGGUUACCUUUAGGAAAACCGCCUGGUGCGGAUGGAAGUCAGGCUAAAGUUCAGUCAUGUCUCUUAGCACAAUGUUUGGGCAAGUCCUUUGUGUGACACGGGAGUUCACAGUUCACAUGCUUCCAGGCAGAUGACCUCAAGUCCUUCUUCAGGGAUGAGAUAGAGCAUAAACUCUGAGCCUCCACACCAAUACAUUCUUCAUUGGGGGAUGAGGUGUUCCUCUACUUAAGUUUUCCACUCCUUCUCUUUAUCCUCUCCCAUCUUAUUUCCUUAGAGAUUUUGCUUCAUAAAAUAGGACUUCCUUCUCUAUUUUCUACCAAAACCUCGACAAUAGUUCCUCCUCAAAUCUCAAGUCUCUCCACUACUAUUAUAACUCUUCCUUCACGUCGAACUUUUUCUAACUCUUUUUCCUUUGCUUUGCUUCAUGACCAAAUCCUUCAAGGUGAUUAUCUACAUACACUUUCCUCACUUACUAUUACCUACCCUAAGUGCAUUUCCCUCUCUGCUGAAUUUUAGCUGGACCAGGUCGCCAAUGAUCUUUUGAUCUUCCAAAUCUAAUGAGAAUACUUGCUUCAUCUGGAAACUUUUUCUUCCUGUGGCUUUUUUGGUUUUCCCACUCAUCUUUCUGUUUGUUUCCAGUCAUGUUUUAAUGCUCCUCAAUCACCAUUUUUUGUGUAUGUGUGUGUGUGGAAGAUUGGA